RNAcentral lists this unclassified non-coding RNA (1934 nucleotides) under Hevea brasiliensis (rubber tree). The record is from RNAcentral. Lineage: Eukaryota; Viridiplantae; Streptophyta; Magnoliopsida; Malpighiales; Euphorbiaceae.
CAAAACUACAACUACAUAAUUACCAUUGGAAGUGUGAGUGAACUCCUUCGUCCUUGAGGAACACGGCCAGAGCCACGGCCACGGUUGCCCUGAAAAUGAGAGGCGGCGUUCUAGUUAUUAAUAAGAAAUGGAUAGGCAUAUUCUAAAUGCCCCUUUCUCGACCAUUCUCCCUCUGCGGUUCUUAACAUCAUCGAUGUCUCAGAACGGAGAAGCGCUCGAAAACGCUUUGAUUUUCUACAAAGCUAAAGCAAGCCAUGAGUGCGCACGUUCAUAUUCCUGCGCACCCUCUCACCGGACGAAAAACAGUAGAGUGUUUGCACCUGUCAGUGCACCCAAUUGCGGCUUUAUCAUCGUGACACGUGCAGGCAGGCAUGUGAUCUUCACCCACCACCCAAAAGCACUCAUCCGUCAACGUAGCAAUUCUCUAACCAAAUGAUGAUGCCACGUGGCAGAACAUGUCAGAACCUUUUUUUUCCUUGGGUUUUUUUAAUUAAUUAAGAAUUAGAGAGAGAAAAUUUUGGUGAGUGGAGCCAAUGACUGCGAGUGAAUAAAUGCUAAGCCGGGAGGUCAAGCAAUAAUCCUUUUGGGUCUGGUCUCGUCAGUGUGCAUUUCCCUCUUCUUUUAUAGAAGAGGAGAAAACCCAAAUUUAUCCACCAAAUUUCUCUUUCUGCUGCCGUGAGUUUGAAAUGCUUGUUGGUUUUUAUGGUUCUCUUGGCAGCAAAAUCUCCAUAGUUGCCCCUUUCAAACUGUAGAUUUCCCUUCUUAUCCUCUCUCUCUCUUCUGGUCACUUUCCUUCAGUCGCCAUUUUUGUCUGUAUCUCUCUCGUUGAACGAUAUUUAUCUUGGGUUGUACGGACAUGGACGGUGGGGCACAGUACAACCCACGAACAGUGGAAGAGGUUUUCAGGGACUUUAAGGGCCGUAGAGCUGGAAUGAUCAAGGCCCUAACCACUGAUGUGGAAGAGUUCUAUCAACAGUGCGAUCCUGAGAAGGAGAACCUUUGCCUGUAUGGAUUUCCUAAUGAACAGUGGGAAGUCAAUUUACCUGCUGAAGAAGUGCCUCCAGAACUCCCGGAGCCUGCAUUAGGUAUUAACUUUGCCAGAGAUGGGAUGCAAGAAAAAGACUGGCUUUCUCUAGUUGCUGUUCACAGUGAUGCAUGGCUACUUGCUGUGGCUUUCUAUUUUGGUGCUAGAUUUGGGUUUGAUAAAGCUGACAGGAAACGUCUUUUCACUAUGAUAAAUGAUCUCCCAACAAUAUUUGAGGUUGUGACGGGAACUGUAAAGAAGCAGGUGAAGGAGAAGUCAUCAGUCUCAAAUCAUAGCAGUACCAAGUCCAAGUCAAGCUCAAAAGGGCGUGGAUCUGAAUCUGGCAAAUAUUCAAAGGGGCAGCCAAGGGAGGACGAUGAAGGACUGGAAGAAGAAGAUGAGGAAGAGCAUGGGGAUACUUUGUGUGGGGCAUGUGGAGAGAACUAUGCUGCAGAUGAGUUCUGGAUUUGUUGUGAUAUAUGUGAAAAGUGGUUCCAUGGCAAGUGUGUGAAGAUCACCCCGGCUAGGGCCGAGCACAUUAAGCAAUACAAAUGCCCAUCUUGCAGCAACAAGAGAGCACGACCUUGAUUUUUGUGGGUCGGGUGAGCCCUCACCUCUGUGCUUCACUCGUGUUCAUGUCAUCAAACUAUUUAGAUAGUCAGGUUCUCUAUGUUGUGCUAUGUUGGCACAGUAUAUUAUUAGGUACAUUUUCUUUGGGACCUGCUAGUUGUGUAUGUUAGCAUUUGGUAGUUCGCAUAGUCGGACAUGUCUACUACUUGAUUCUGAAUUUGGAUAUAUUAUUUCCACUAUGUAGGAAAUUAUUUGUCCUAUAUCAAACACAGAAUAUCUAAUCAUUCUCAACCAAUUUCUGAUCUCAACUUAUGUUGUUUGCUGUGCCCCAUGUGUUGGG